This 253-nucleotide ribosomal RNA is filed under the name uncultured bacterium. RNAcentral's name for it is "partial 16S ribosomal RNA". It matches the Rfam family "Bacterial small subunit ribosomal RNA", at positions 524 to 776 of the family's 1533-position model. The record is from RNAcentral.
UACGAGAGGCCCAAACGUUAUUCGGAAUUACUGGGCUUAAAGAGUUCGUAGGCGGCGCAGAAAGUGGGGUGUGAAAGCCCCCGGCUCAACCGAGGAAUUGCGCUCCAAACUACUGUGCUUGAGGAAGCUAGAGGUGAGCAGAACUGAUGGUGGAGCGGUGAAAUGCGUUGAUAUCAUCAGGAAUACCGGAGGCGAAGGCGGCUCACUGGGGCUUUUCUGACGCUGAGGAACGAAAGCCAGGGUAGCGAACGGG